This 460-nucleotide ribosomal RNA is filed under the name uncultured bacterium. Its description in RNAcentral is "partial 16S ribosomal RNA". It matches the Rfam family "Bacterial small subunit ribosomal RNA", at positions 338 to 795 of the family's 1533-position model. The record is from RNAcentral.
CCUACGGGUGGCAGCAGUGAGGAAUAUUGGUCAAUGGGCGCGAGCCUGAACCAGCCAAGUCGCGUGAGGGAAGACGGCCCUACGGGUUGUAAACCUCUUUUGCCGGGGAGCAACGGGCGCCACGUGUGGCGCCACUGAUAGUACCCGGAGACAAAGCAUCGGCUAACUCCGUGCCAGCAGCCGCGGUAAUACGGAGGAUGCGAGCGUUAUCCGGUUUUAUUGGGUUUAAGGGGUGCGUAGGCGGGGCGUUAAGUCAGUGGUCAAAUUGAGGGGCUCAACCCCUUCCCGCCAUUGAAACUGGCGAGCUUGAGUGGAAGAGAAGUAGGCGGAAUGCGUGGUGUAGCGGUGAAAUGCAUAGAUAUCACGCAGAACCCCGAUUGCGAAGGCAGCAUGCCGGAUUCCGACUGACGCUGAAGCACGAAAGUGUGGGUAUCAAACAGGAUUAGAUACCCUAGUAGUC